This 577-nucleotide ribosomal RNA is filed under the name Penicillium simplicissimum. Its description in RNAcentral is "eukaryotic LSU rRNA". The stretch from base 194 to 347 matches the Rfam family "5.8S ribosomal RNA". The record is from RNAcentral. Lineage: Eukaryota; Fungi; Ascomycota; Eurotiomycetes; Eurotiales; Aspergillaceae.
CUGCGGAAGGAUCAUUACCGAGUGAGGGCCCUCUGGGUCCAACCUCCCACCCGUGUUUAUCGUACCUUGUUGCUUCGGCGGGCCCGCCUCACGGCCGCCGGGGGGCAUCCGCCCCCGGGCCCGCGCCCGCCGAAGACACCAAUGAACUCUUGUCUGAAGAUUGCAGUCUGAGCAGAUUAGCUAAAUCAGUUAAAACUUUCAACAACGGAUCUCUUGGUUCCGGCAUCGAUGAAGAACGCAGCGAAAUGCGAUAAGUAAUGUGAAUUGCAGAAUUCAGUGAAUCAUCGAGUCUUUGAACGCACAUUGCGCCCCCUGGUAUUCCGGGGGGCAUGCCUGUCCGAGCGUCAUUGCUGCCCUCAAGCACGGCUUGUGUGUUGGGCUUCGCCCCCCGGCUCCCGGGGGGCGGGCCCGAAAGGCAGCGGCGGCACCGCGUCCGGUCCUCGAGCGUAUGGGGCUUUGUCACCCGCUCUGUAGGCCCGGCCGGCGCCCGCCGGCGACCCCAAAUCAAUCUAUCCAGGUUGACCUCGGAUCAGGUAGGGAUACCCGCUGAACUUAAGCAUAUCAAUAAGACGGAGGA